RNAcentral lists this transfer RNA (67 nucleotides) under Corythaixoides concolor (grey go-away-bird). RNAcentral describes it as "tRNA-Ser". The record is from RNAcentral. Lineage: Eukaryota; Metazoa; Chordata; Aves; Musophagiformes; Musophagidae.
GAGGGGGAGGUUAAACCAACAAGAACUGCUAAUUCUCGUAUCUGAGCCUAAAACCUCAGCCCCCUUA